GACGAACGCUGGCGGCGUGCUUAACACAUGCAAGUCGAACGGAAAGGCCCUGCUUUUGUGGGGUGCUCGAGUGGCGAACGGGUGAGUAACACGUGAGUAACCUGCCCUUGACUUUGGGAUAACUUCAGGAAACUGGGGCUAAUACCGGAUAGGAGCUCCUGCUGCAUGGUGGGGGUUGGAAAGUUUCGGCGGUUGGGGAUGGACUCGCGGCUUAUCAGCUUGUUGGUGGGGUAGUGGCUUACCAAGGCUUUGACGGGUAGCCGGCCUGAGAGGGUGACCGGAGAGACGGGGAAUGAGAGACAGCGCGGACGGAGCCGGGGGGCAGAAGGGGGGAGUAGGGAACGAUGGGCGGAGGGAUGAGGCAGUAAAGCCGGGGGGGGGAGGGCGGUGGUAGGGUAGGAAGACGAGGGCGCCUGUGACGAAGAGGGAGUGAAGGGAAUGGGAAAAGAAGAAACGGCUACCUACGGG
RNAcentral lists this ribosomal RNA (468 nucleotides) under uncultured bacterium. RNAcentral's name for it is "partial 16S ribosomal RNA". The stretch from base 13 to 373 matches the Rfam family "Bacterial small subunit ribosomal RNA", at positions 40 to 399 of the family's 1533-position model. The record is from RNAcentral.